RNAcentral lists this ribosomal RNA (433 nucleotides) under uncultured bacterium. RNAcentral describes it as "partial 16S ribosomal RNA". It matches the Rfam family "Bacterial small subunit ribosomal RNA", at positions 29 to 507 of the family's 1533-position model. The record is from RNAcentral.
AGCGAACGCUGGCGGCAGGCCUAGCACAUGCAAGUCGAACGAACUCUUCGGAGUUAGUGGCGGACGGGUGAGUAACACGUGGGAACGUGCCUUUUGGUUCGGAAUAACUCAGGGAAACUUGUGCUAAUACCGAAUGUGCCCUUCGGGGGAAAGAUUUAUCGCCAUUAGAGCGGCCCGCGUCUGAUUAGCUAGUUGGUGAGGUAACGGCUCACCAAGGCGACGAUCAGUAGCUGGUCUGAGAGGAUGACCAGCCACACUGGGACUGAGACACGGCCCAGACUCCUACGGGAGGCAGCAGUGGGGAAUCUUGCGCAAUGGGCGAAAGCCUGACGCAGCCAUGCCGCGUGAAUGAUGAAGGGCUUAGGAUUGUAAAAUUCUUUCACCGGGGACGAUAAUGACGGUACCCGGAGAAGAAGCCCCGGCUAACUUCGUG